AGAGGGUGACUUAGCGGCGGACGGGUGAGUAACGCGUGGGCAACCUGCCUUACACAGGGGGAUAACAAUUAGAAAUGAUUGCUAAUACCGCAUAAGACCCCGGUACCGCAUGGUACAGGGGUAAAAACUGAGGUGGUGUAAGAUGGGCCCGCGUCUGAUUAGGUAGUUGGUGGGGUAGAAGCCUACCAAGCCGACGAUCAGUAGCCGACCUGAGAGGGCGACCGGCCACAUUGGGACUGAGACACGGCCCAAACUCCUACGGGAGGCAGCAG
Molecule: ribosomal RNA, 272 nt
Filed under: uncultured bacterium
Lineage: Bacteria
Description: partial 16S ribosomal RNA
Rfam family: Bacterial small subunit ribosomal RNA
Source: RNAcentral